Molecule: long non-coding RNA, 717 nt
Organism: Lonchura striata (white-rumped munia)
Lineage: Eukaryota; Metazoa; Chordata; Aves; Passeriformes; Estrildidae
Source: RefSeq, a predicted model, not a curated record
CCAAGCUCCAUCAGCUGUCGGCAGGGCGAGGAGGGGAAAGGUGCCACACCUCCCUGGGAGAGAUUAUGCCCUCCCAUCCCUUUCCUCAACGGGUUUAGGCUCAGCGGGCAGGCAGGAGAGAGUGCCCAAAGGAGAGAGAAUAGGACUGUCACAUCUUCUGGAUAAAGAGCAAAGAAAUCUGACGCCUCUAACGAAGUCUAUGUAGAAGUUUAGAGAGAAGGUUGGCAAGGAGAGGAUAGAAAAGAAGAAUCUCCUCCAGGGGAAAGGAACGCAGAAGAAUAGGGGUAACCCGAAGGGUGGAGGGAAAAAGUAAAGAGGUACGGGGAUGCAGGGCAAGAAAGCUGCAGAAGAAACGUGAGGCAGGGAAAGGAGGGCGUCCCGACAGAAGGACAGCGCGGGGAAGGUGGGCGGACGAGGAGGACCCGGCUCGGCGGUCGAGGGGAAGGAGCAGGGCCUUACCUGCAGGGAGUAGUAAAGAAGACACAGUUGGCUUUGCUUUCAGAUAGGCAUACUAAGGAGAUGCAAAAUCUUCUUAUGAGUGAUAUGCAUUAAUCACCAGGGCUGGAAGAAAAGUUUAAGACCAGGAAGAGUGUGCUGAGAUCAAGUCUGUAACUGGUUAAGAAGUUCAUGGAAGUUUCUGAAUUGAUGAUGUCAAAUCACUUCAUCAUUGAAUGCCUUUGACAGUGAGUGAAUAAAAUGUUUGUUCCCAGCCUAGAA